ACAUGCAAGUCGAACGAUGAACCGCUUUCGGGCGGGGAUUAGUGGCGAACGGGUGAGUAACACGUGGGCAAUCUGCCCUGCACUCUGGGACAAGCCCUGGAAACGGGGUCUAAUACCGGAUAUGACUGUCCRUCGCAUGGUGGAUGGUGUAAAGCUCCGGCGGUGCAGGAUGAGCCCGCGGCCUAUCAGCUUGUUGGUGAGGUAGUGGCUCACCAAGGCGACGACGGGUAGCCGGCCUGAGAGGGCGACCGGCCACACUGGGACUGAGACACGGCCCAGACUCCUACGGGAGGCAGCAGUGGGGAAUAUUGCACAAUGGGCGAAAGCCUGAUGCAGCGACGCCGCGUGAGGGAUGACGGCCUUCGGGUUGUAAACCUCUUUCAGCAGGGAAGAAGCGAAAGUGACGGUACCUGCAGAAGAAGCGCCGGCUAACUACGUGCCAGCAGCCGCGGUAAUACGUAGGGCGCAAGCGUUGUCCGGAAUUAUUGGGCGUAAAGAGCUCGUAGGCGGCUUGUCACGUCGGUUGUGAAAGCCCGGGGCUUAACCCCGGGUCUGCAGUCGAUACGGGCAGGCUAGAGUUCGGUAGGGGAGAUCGGAAUUCCUGGUGUAGCGGUGAAAUGCGCAGAUAUCAGGAGGAACACCGGUGGCGAAGGCGGAUCUCUGGGCCGAUACUGACGCUGAKGAGCGAAAGCGUGGGGAGCGAACAGGAUUUAGAUACCCUGGKUAGUCCACGCCGUAAACGGUGGGCACUAGGUGUGGGCAACAUUCCACGUUGUCCGUGCCGCAGCUAACGCAUUAAGUGCCCCGCCUUGGGGAGUACGGCCGCAAGGCUUAAACUUCAAAGGAAUUGACGGGGG
Molecule: ribosomal RNA, 857 nt
Filed under: Streptomyces sp.
Lineage: Bacteria; Bacillati; Actinomycetota; Actinomycetes; Kitasatosporales; Streptomycetaceae
Description: bacterial SSU rRNA
Source: RNAcentral